Molecule: ribosomal RNA, 1009 nt
Filed under: Bacillus sp. NNAR1
Lineage: Bacteria; Bacillati; Bacillota; Bacilli; Caryophanales; Bacillaceae
Description: bacterial SSU rRNA
Rfam family: Bacterial small subunit ribosomal RNA
Source: RNAcentral
GCUAUACUGCAAGUCGAGCGAACUGAUUAGAAGCUUGCUUCUAUGACGUUAGCGGCGGACGGGUGAGUAACACGUGGGCAACCUGCCUGUAAGACUGGGAUAACUUCGGGAAACCGAAGCUAAUACCGGAUAGGAUCUUCUCCUUCAUGGGAGAUGAUUGAAAGAUGGUUUCGGCUAUCACUUACAGAUGGGCCCGCGGUGCAUUAGCUAGUUGGUGAGGUAACGGCUCACCAAGGCAACGAUGCAUAGCCGACCUGAGAGGGUGAUCGGCCACACUGGGACUGAGACACGGCCCAGACUCCUACGGGAGGCAGCAGUAGGGAAUCUUCCGCAAUGGACGAAAGUCUGACGGAGCAACGCCGCGUGAGUGAUGAAGGCUUUCGGGUCGUAAAACUCUGUUGUUAGGGAAGAACAAGUACAAGAGUAACUGCUUGUACCUUGACGGUACCUAACCAGAAAGCCACGGCUAACUACGUGCCAGCAGCCGCGGUAAUACGUAGGUGGCAAGCGUUAUCCGGAAUUAUUGGGCGUAAAGCGCGCGCAGGCGGUUUCUUAAGUCUGAUGUGAAAGCCCACGGCUCAACCGUGGAGGGUCAUUGGAAACUGGGGAACUUGAGUGCAGAAGAGAAAAGCGGAAUUCCACGUGUAGCGGUGAAAUGCGUAGAGAUGUGGAGGAACACCAGUGGCGAAGGCGGCUUUUUGGUCUGUAACUGACGCUGAGGCGCGAAAGCGUGGGGAGCAAACAGGAUUAGAUACCCUGGUAGUCCACGCCGUAAACGAUGAGUGCUAAGUGUUAGAGGGUUUCCGCCCUUUAGUGCUGCAGCUAACGCAUUAAGCACUCCGCCUGGGGAGUACGGUCGCAAGACUGAAACUCAAAGGAAUUGACGGGGGCCCGCACAAGCGGGGAGCAUGUGGUUUAAUUCGAAGCAACGCGAAAACCUUACCCUUGACUCCUCUGAACUCUAGAGAUAGAGCGUUCCCCUUCGGGGGACAGAGUGACAGGGGCAUGG